UAGGGAAUCUUCCACAAUGGACGCAAGUCUGAUGGAGCAACGCCGCGUGAGUGAAGAAGGUUUUCGGAUCGUAAAGCUCUGUUGUUGGUGAAGAAGGAUAGAGGCAGUAACUGGUCUUUAUUUGACGGUAAUCAACCAGAAAGUCACGGCUAACUACGUGCCAGCAGCCGCGGUAAUACGUAGGUGGCAAGCGUUGUCCGGAUUUAUUGAGCGUAAAGCGAGCGCAGGCGGAAUGAUAAGUCUGAUGUGAAAGCCCACGGCUCAACCGUGGAACUGCAUCGGAAACUGUCAUUCUUGAGUGCAGAAGAGGAGAGUGGAACUCCAUGUGUAGCGGUGGAAUGCGUAGAUAUAUGGAAGAACACCAGUGGCGAAGGCGGCUCUCUGGUCUGCAACUGACGCUGAGGCUCGAAAGCAUGGGUAGCGAACAGGAUUAGAUACCCUGGUAGUCCAUGCCGUAAACGAUGAGCGCUAGGUGUUGGGGGACUUUCCGGUUCUCAGUGCCGCAGCAAACGCAUUAAGCGCUCCGCCUGGGGAGUACGACCGCAAGGUUGAAAC
RNAcentral lists this ribosomal RNA (555 nucleotides) under uncultured bacterium. Its description in RNAcentral is "partial 16S ribosomal RNA". It matches the Rfam family "Bacterial small subunit ribosomal RNA", at positions 355 to 900 of the family's 1533-position model. The record is from RNAcentral.